ACUCUGAAUUCCAAUACGAGGGCAGGCAGCUCAGUAGUUAAUAUAAGAAUGAAACCACUAACAUCAAGACUCAAACGACUCCUAGGCAGACUUAAGCCAGCAACAACAAGACUGAUGCUAUUAACUCACAGAACCAAAUCAGUAAGUGUAAGGCUUUGAAGCGGGUAAGUAAAGAAAGGGGAGUGGAAAGGAGAGUUUCAUCUGUAUGCUUGCCCACUUGCUAUGUGGUUUAAGAAUUCAGUUAGAUGAGCAAGAGUCGAUGAACUCUUUAUUUGUGUUGCCAGAGCUAUAGGGGAGAGAUUGGCUGUGGAAUCCUAUUUCCUUUGUGUAGUUACGGGGUUGUUUUGUUUACUGACUUGCUAGUAUGGGUAGGGGUCCCGUUUUGCCCAUCAUGUGUUUAGUUCAGGGGUCGGGGUGCUUAUUCCAUUGGUUUAUUCGCCCCACUGGUCAGAAAGGGAAGCAGUUCAUAGUUGUAAGAGAUUAGCCGGAGUUCACAGAGGAAGUCGAGAGGUCGGGUCUCAUAAGAAAUCAAGUCUAGCUUUUGUUGACAGAGCAGAGGAAAGAAAGAAACUGGAAUGAAAGAGGAGAGUGAUUGUUUGAAGAGCCAGAGGGGGCAGGUUAGCUAGUCAAUUGAAUAGAGGGCAGGUUAGCUAGUCAAUUUCAUUCCACUCCUAUGUCGGUAAAGUAUCGGCUUUGUUGCGAGGGAGAGAAAACGGAGCGAGUGGGGGAUGCUGUUGAAAGAGAGGAGACAAGCCCGGUAUUCGACCCUAAAGAAAGGAAUCAUGCCAUAACUGUAUUUGUAACCAGAGGAGAGAGAGUCAAGCUAGUCCAGAGUAGAGGUAUGAUAGUUCCCAGCUGUAUUCUUUAUUGAUUGCCCCUUGGUUUAGUCUUGAUAGUAGUUGCCUUAACCCUGUAGUUACUAAUUGCAGAAAUGAGAAUAAGGUUCUUCACUGUUUGGUUCUUACAAGCACUGGUGUCAGCCUGAGUCAAGUAGGAGGUCAGUCUGGUUGUCAGUGGUUAGGUUCCGAUACUGCUUAGUCCCAUUCUGUAAUUGAUUAGGUUCAGUCUGGUUGGUGCACAGUUUGAUUCUUCUUAGUAGUGGUAGAUAGGUCAGGUGUUUGACUUGAAGUGGAAUCCCCAGUUGCAUCAGUGAGAGUUGCCAGAGAGGAGGAGAGAGGUAAAGUUGAAAGUUACGUUCUUGACCCAACAGGUAGUGGAGUAGUCGCGCCCAGAAGCAAUACAAGUAUACGAGUAGUUAGCUCUUUGAACUGUUGUAGUUGCCCUUAUAUUAAGUCGUUAGAUUAGCAAGAUCAGAGGAAUCGGCGGGAUCAGUAUCAAUAUAAGUAGUUGAUUGUCGGCUUGGCUGCUACUUUAGAGUUCAAUUAAGUAUCUGUUGCCAGCAGGGUUCAAUGAUUUGUUCUUCAAGUUUAGAGGCAAGGUCAGCAGUUCCGUCAGAAGGGGAGGUCGGGGACUUAUUAGAGGUUAAGGGUUUACAAGGGAAGAAAUAGAGGAAUGAGCGAGAUCAGGUACGAGCGGGAAGAAUAGAGAGGCAAGGUAAGUAGUGAAGUAUGCAGGAGAGAGACUCCAGUUAUGAGUAAGCCCGCAUCUAGUACAUAAGACUAAGAUCUAGCUUGUUGGGGUGGUAGAGAGUUCGGUUCGGGGUUAACACUUAUAAGAGAAGUUAUUGUUUCGGGUCGGAAUACAGAUGCUGAAUUCACUGUUCUGGUUUCAUCAUAUCUUAGAGAAUUGUCAAAUGAAUCAAUUUGGAAAAGAACAAAAAAAGUAGAAGAUUACUCAUAUUUAUCAUGUACCAACACCGUAGAAAAUAGUAAAGGAAAAGCCAUAUCAAUUCUAUCUCUUCUUAUAUAGGUGAACGGAGUCAACUCUUCAUUCCAAUACGAGGGUAGGGUCGGCUGGUUUACUGACUUU
This 1929-nucleotide long non-coding RNA is filed under the name Musa acuminata (dwarf banana). RNAcentral's name for it is "long non-coding RNA (MACU_LNC007504)". Lineage: Eukaryota; Viridiplantae; Streptophyta; Magnoliopsida; Zingiberales; Musaceae. The record is from RNAcentral.